UUUCAAUGAUGAUUCAAAGUCAGUUCUGCUACUGAGAGUAUUUGAAGACAAUGGUCUACCCUGAAAAUUCAGUAAUUCUGACUA
Molecule: small nucleolar RNA, 84 nt
Organism: Zophobas morio
Lineage: Eukaryota; Metazoa; Arthropoda; Insecta; Coleoptera; Tenebrionidae
Source: RefSeq, a predicted model, not a curated record